GAAAGCUUGCUUCUUUGCUGGCGACCGGCGCACGGGUGAGUAACACGUAUCCAACCUACCCUUUACUCGGGGAUAGCCUUUCGAAAGAAAGAUUAAUACCCGAUAGCAUAAUGAUUCCGCAUGGUUUCAUUAUUAAAGGAUUCCGGUAAAGGAUGGGGAUGCGUUCCAUUAGGUUGUUGGUGGGGUAACGGCCCACCAAGCCUUCGAUGGAUAGGGGUUCUGAGAGGAAGGUCCCCCACAUUGGAACUGAGACACGGUCCAAACUCCUACGGGAGGCAGCAUG
RNAcentral lists this ribosomal RNA (283 nucleotides) under uncultured bacterium. RNAcentral's name for it is "partial 16S ribosomal RNA". It matches the Rfam family "Bacterial small subunit ribosomal RNA", at positions 68 to 353 of the family's 1533-position model. The record is from RNAcentral.